GUCAGUGGCAUGGAAAGGAGAUAGAGAAGGAUUAGGAAGAGGAGAGGGCAGUGAGGUGUAGAGAAACCAGAGAGAAUCCUGUGGACCUCAGGUUUUGAACUUGGUGGUGGAAGCAUGAUACUCUCUGGCUUAGAAAUAUUCACUGAAGCACCAUGAUAAAGUGGUUGGGGUUGGGGACAUGGGUUUUGGAACUGGGUAGAUGGUGACAAGAACUCUGGAACUGGUAGACAGAUUUGGUUCAAGUCUUGUUUCUAGGCAUAAGCAACUAAGUUAGUCAACCUAUGCUGAACUUGAUUUCCCAAAGAUCCUUGAGAAUUGUUCUUUAAAGGGGUAGAAGGGGAUGUUCCAGAAGAUGACAGAUAUGAAGUACCCCCACGCAGUGGAGUGCUGAUUGGUCAUUCUCUGCUGUGUGUCAGUUGCUGAGAUUUUUGCAGAGACUGGAAAGGAUAACUGAAACGUGUUCCCGCCUUCAGAGCCAACAUGGCCUAGAAACUGCUGUGUAACUCAGUCAGCAUGAAAACAAUGUUGGAUGAGCCCAGACUGCUUGGAGUUUCCCUCAGCAAGAGGCACUGGGGAAAAAAGAUGACUGAAUUUUCCCUUUCUCUGAAGCUUACACUGUGCCAGGGUAAAUGGAUAUUGCAACACGCCGUUUUUGUUUUUAUAUAAAGUUACGCCUAAUCAAAAUAGUUGCAUAUGAUUUUCUUAGCAGUUAUUGUAGGAAACACCAAUUUUUUUCUGUUUUCUGUCUUUCUCUCUCUCUCUCUCUUUUUUUUUUUUUUUUUUUUUUUAAAGAAAGGGGUUGAUCUGUCUAGCUUGUGAUCCCUCGAUAUUUACCCUGUCUCUGAAAAUCACCUGCCCACCUCCUUGAAUUCUGGUGAAGGUAGUCCCACAAGUUCGUGUUCCACAGGUUGAAUAGGAAAUAGUUAUUCAUUUUACCCCACAAGGUCCAGCAAAAGCCCCGGUUGGGGGGCUGACCCUUACUGGACUCCAUAUGGGACAUAGCCCCAUCUUUGACCUAAGUAUGGCCCAUGGGAUUGUCCUGAAGGUGGCUUCCUAGAGAGAAUGAAUACUGGCCAGGUAAACACAAUAUAGGUCCUAAGUGGGCCUGGGGUGUUCUGGGAUAUUCUGUGUCUUACUACUUGGAGUGUCAUGCUCUGGUCAGCAGCAUCACCAUCACCUGGAAGCUUACUGGAAAUGCAGACUCUCAGACUCUAAGGCCCUACUGUGGGAUCUCAGGGAUCAGGAUCUGUUCUUCACAAGAUUCUCCAAGCAAUUCCUAUGCACGUUGGAAUUUGAGAUGGGUGCAGGGCUGGAGCAAGUCAGGGAACCCUGGCCCGUAUCUGUCUCUUCUUCAGGGCAUAUCCCUGUAUACACACUGGGCACUUCAUCCCCAUCAGGGCCCACACCAUUGAAACCCUAAAGCAGUGUGUGUCAAGAGAGGCCCCACCAUGAUGAAUUGCUUUUAGGUGUUCUUUUAGUUUCCUUUAAGUCCAGGAAUCAGCAUUUCCUUUGUUAGCUAGGUAGAAAUAAUGAGAAAA
This is a long non-coding RNA of Sapajus apella (tufted capuchin), 1538 nucleotides long. RefSeq lists it as uncharacterized. The transcript is spliced from 2 exons. NCBI's taxonomy places the organism in Eukaryota, Metazoa, Chordata, Mammalia, Primates, Cebidae. The record is from RefSeq and is a predicted model, not a curated record.